RNAcentral lists this ribosomal RNA (395 nucleotides) under uncultured bacterium. RNAcentral describes it as "partial 16S ribosomal RNA". It matches the Rfam family "Bacterial small subunit ribosomal RNA", at positions 523 to 918 of the family's 1533-position model. The record is from RNAcentral.
AUACGUAGGGUGCAAGCGUUAAUCGGAAUUACUGGGCGUAAAGCGUGCGCAGGCGGUUUUGUAAGACAGUGGUGAAAUCCCCGGGCUCCACCUGGGAACUGCCAUUGUGACUGCAAGGCUGGAGUGCGGCAGAGGGGGAUGGAAUUCCGCGUGGAGCAGUGAAAUGCGUAGAUAUGCGGAGGAACACCGAUGGCGAAGGCAAUCCCCUGGGCCUGCACUGACGCUCAUGCACGAAAGCGUGGGGAGCAAACAGGAUUAGAUACCCUGGUAGUCCACGCCCUAAACGAUGUCAACUGGUUGUUGGGGAUUUAUUUUCUCAGUAACGAAGCUAACGCGUGAAGUUGACCGCCUGGGGAGUACGGCCGCAAGGUUAAAACUCAAAGGAAUUGACGGGG